GCAUAACGCGAAGAACCUUACCAGGCCUUGACAUGCAGAGAACUUUCCAGAGAUGGAUUGGUGCCUUCGGGAACUCUGACACAGGUGCUGCAUGGCUGUCGUCAGCUCGUGUCGUGAGAUGUUGGGUUAAGUCCCGUAACGAGCGCGAACCCUUGUCCUUAGUUACCAGCACGUCAUGGUGGGCACUCUAAGGAGACUGCCGGUGACAAACCGGAGGAAGGUGGGGAGUGACGUCAAGUCAUCAUGGCCCUUACGGCCUGGGCUACACACGUGCUACAAUGGUCGGUACAGAGGGUUGCCAAGCCGCGAGGUGGAGCUAAUCUCACAAAACCGAUCGUAGUCCGGAUCGCAGUUUGCAACUCGACUGCGUGAAGUCGGAAUCGCUAGUAAUCGCGAAUCAGGAUGUCGCGGUGAAUACGUUCCCGGGUCUUGUAC
RNAcentral lists this ribosomal RNA (435 nucleotides) under uncultured bacterium. RNAcentral's name for it is "bacterial SSU rRNA". It matches the Rfam family "Bacterial small subunit ribosomal RNA", at positions 954 to 1386 of the family's 1533-position model. The record is from RNAcentral.